AAAACCGUCAAUACUGGGCAAGAGGCAGGCUUGCGCCAGCAACGGACGCGCGCGUGCAAAUUCCGCGUGCGUGUGCAAAGUCAGCAUGCACGUGCAAAGUCUGCAUGCACGUGCAAAGUCUGCAUGCUCGUGCAAAGUCCGCGUGCUUGCACCAGAUGCAGAAGAAAUAGGCAAGGGAACUGCGUGCCUGGUGCGUGCGUGGGUCCUGGGGGACUGUUGAGUGCUGACACUGGGAUGUGAUUCAGAUCCCGCUGGUCCACCUCCUGACCCAGUGAGGUUUCCGGAUCAUCUCGGAAGGGUUGUAGAUGCUGGGUUUGAGGGGUGGCAGCUAUGGCAAGGCCAGGGAUCUCUCCCCUCAGACUGGUGCAACGACCCUGCCCCUCCCCAGAGGCAGCCAGGAUGGCAGCACAGAUGGGCUGAACUCCGAUGGACGUGGGGGCAGUCAGAGGGCUGAGCAGGCUCUUGCUGCAGGUUGAAGGUAGCUCUUGGGGCGUGGAGCACGUGCGGACUAGGGUGAGGCAAGGACACCUUGUCCUCCCUUGAAGGUGUGAGCUAGUGUUUGUAUCUAGCGUUGCUAUGGUGAGGGUGGGCGGGGCUUAGUUUGACAGCCAGGAGCUCUUGCAAUGGCAAGAAUCCCUCAGCCCAUGGCCCCGCCCCUGAGCUGUCAGAGUUCUGUCUUCUGUCCUGCCUGGGCCUGGCCAGUCAGAAGGGGAACUGCUGGGGGGCAAGUUUCUUGGCUGAGCAGCAUUUGCAGGUGGUGGCAGCUUUGGGAUCAUGGCCUGUGUGUCUUCCUGCACUUCCUCUGGGAACAGUGGACGGAACAGCUGCUGAGAAUGCAUUUAAGGCAUCCCCCAGAGUCUGGCUGAGGGGUUCAGCAGGGCAGGCUGGGAGGCAAUGCUACCCUCUGUGCACAGUCCUUUCUCUUUUUGUGGAAACCAGAAAAACCCAGGUGUGUGCUCACAAAAUCGAGUUUUAUUCAUAUUUGGGUUGCUUUCUUUGAAUUUUGGUUAUCAAGAUUCUCCAAUUUUUAAAUUUAUUUUUUUAGUUGUCAACAGGCCUUUUUUUCAUUUCUGUGCAGUGCUGAGAAUUGAACCCAGUGCCUCCCACAUGCUAGGCAAGCACUCUGCAACUGAGCCACAACCCCAGCUCUCCACUUUUUUGACUGUCUUCAUUGCUUAGCUGUUCUGGGGACAAUACUAAGCCUCCUACUGUUCCUGCAGUGUAAGAUAUGUUACCUUUCACCAGUCCAAUCUCAGCAUUCACUCUUUGGAGGUUCCAGUUGUCAUGGGUCUUGGCUUUUCCUGGAUGGAAGGGCACCCUGCCAGAGUUAGCUGUGAGGUUUCAAGCUCAAGCUUCCCAUAACCCACUAAGCAGCCCUGCAUGCUCCUCCAUGCUCAGCUAUUAAGAACUGUCCCUCCUCCUCACUGGUGGAGUUCUGGGCUUGCUUCUGAACUGGGCAAAAUAUCAGUGAGUGGGGACCUGGAGGAGUGAGGUUGGAGGGAGCCUCACCUGGGAUUGUUGUCCCAACUGGGUGCUCCUUGGGCCCCUUCCAUUGCCCAUGGCCUUUUCUGGGUCCACUGGACCUGCAGUAAUCAGUGAAGGCCGCUGGGUGAGGUUGUGGCAGUGCUCAUCUCUCCUGGUGGGAUAAUUCCUGGCAUUGCAUCCUUCUGAACCCAGUUCAAGGUGCUGCCCAGUAGGCUGCAUUGGGAAUCAGGGUCCUGGAAGUAAUGAAUCACCAGAUGGGCCAGUGCAGCACAGACUUGCAGUGGGUGACAAAGUUGGAGUUGGGUUGCCAAGAACAUGGUCCUGGGGCUCAGUGUAUAGGUCCUUCCUCAUGCCACACAGCUGAAUUGGCACUUAUCUUGAACUUUCCUCUGGAGUGGCCAGAACCAGAAGCUCCUUCACUUCCCAAGUGUCAUGAAAUCAUAGUGCUUUUGAGAAAAUGGCUGGAAGAUGGGUUUAUGUCCCCCACCAUAGGCCUCCCCACAGGCUUACAGGCUGGGAAAUUCUCAGUUUCUUCUUUCAGUCACCAUUUCCUGCUGCAUAGGGAAGAAAAAUGCACACCCUCCUAGAUCAUGCCUGCCUCUGGAGUCAGGGUACUAACUGCAUUGAUGGACAGGGUGACCAAUUGUGGGCCACACCUGAGGGGUCCUGGAGUCUGAGGUUGGCCGAACUCUUUAUUUUCUACUAACAAAGAGGUCUAUAAAAACAUGAAUGACAGGUGAUGUCACUGAACAACAAAGAUGGGAGAGGACAGCUUGAAGAGCCUGGAGAGGAGCCAGGCAAUCAGAGAAAAAAUAACACUAAGAGUGGAGGAGGCCAACCUCUGUCUAGAGGGCUCUGGGAAGAGCCAGCCUGAUUUCCUUCUGGGACCUGCUCAGGAUGGAUUGUGG
Molecule: long non-coding RNA, 2393 nt
Organism: Marmota monax (woodchuck)
Lineage: Eukaryota; Metazoa; Chordata; Mammalia; Rodentia; Sciuridae
Exons: 2
Source: RefSeq, a predicted model, not a curated record